Molecule: ribosomal RNA, 115 nt
Filed under: Cysteiniphilum litorale
Lineage: Bacteria; Pseudomonadati; Pseudomonadota; Gammaproteobacteria; Thiotrichales; Fastidiosibacteraceae
Also listed under: 1 other name
Source: RNAcentral
CCUGAUGAAGAUAGCGACUGUGAACCACCUGAUUCCAUUCCGAACUCAGAAGUGAAAACAGUUAGCGUCGAUGAUAGUGUGGCAUUCGCCAUGUGAAAGUAGAACAUCAUCAGGU